AGUGAACGCUGGCGGUAGGCCUAACACAUGCAAGUCGAACGGCAGCACAGUAAGAGCUUGCUCUUACGGGUGGCGAGUGGCGGACGGGUGAGGAAUACAUCGGAAUCUACUUUUUCGUGGGGGAUAACGUAGGGAAACUUACGCUAAUACCGCAUACGACCUACGGGUGAAAGCAGGGGAUCUUCGGACCUUGCGCGAUUGAAUGAGCCGAUGUCGGAUUAGCUAGUUGGCGGGGUAAAGGCCCACCAAGGCGACGAUCCGUAGCUGGUCUGAGAGGAUGUUCAGCCACAUGGGACCGAGGAAACGGCCCGAAUCCUUAGGGGAGGAAGAGUGGGGAAUAUUGGACAAUGGGCGCAAGCCUGAUCCAGCCAUACCGCGUGGGUGAAGAAGGCCUUCGGGUUGUAAAGCCCUUUUGUUGGGAAAGAGAAGCAGCAGGUUAAUACCCCGCUGUUCUGACGGUACCCAAAGAAUAAGCACCGGCUAACUUCGUG
Molecule: ribosomal RNA, 491 nt
Filed under: uncultured bacterium
Lineage: Bacteria
Description: partial 16S ribosomal RNA
Rfam family: Bacterial small subunit ribosomal RNA
Source: RNAcentral